AGAGUUUGAUCCUGGCUCAGGAUGAACGCCGGCGGUGUGCCUAAUACAUGCAAGUCGAACGCGUUGGCCCAAUUGAUUGAUGGUGCUUGCACCUGAUUGAUUUUGGUUGCCAGCGAGUGGCGGACGGGUGAGUAACACGUAGGUAACCUGCCCAGAAGCGGGGGACAACAUUUGGAAACAGAUGCUAAUACCGCAUAACAGCGUUGUUCGCAUGAACAACGCUUAAAAGAUGGCUUCUCGCUAUCACUUCUGGAUGGACCUGCGGUGCAUUAGCUUGUUGGUGGGGUAACGGCCUACCAAGGCGAUGAUGCAUAGCCGAGUUGAGAGACUGAUCGGCCACAAUGGGACUGAGACACGGCCCAUACUCCUACGGGAGGCAGCAGUAGGGAAUCUUCCACAAUGGGCGCAAGCCUGAUGGAGCAACACCGCGUGAGUGAAGAAGGGUUUCGGCUCGUAAAGCUCUGUUGUUAAAGAAGAACACGUAUGAGAGUAACUGUUCAUACGUUGACGGUAUUUAACCAGAAAGUCACGGCUAACUACGUGCCAGCAGCCGCGGUAAUACGUAGGUGGCAAGCGUUAUCCGGAUUUAUUGGGCGUAAAGAGAGUGCAGGCGGUUUUCUAAGUCUGAUGUGAAAGCCUUCGGCUUAACCGGAGAAGUGCAUCGGAAACUGGAUAACUUGAGUGCAGAAGAGGGUAGUGGAACUCCAUGUGUAGCGGUGGAAUGCGUAGAUAUAUGGAAGAACACCAGUGGCGAAGGCGGCUACCUGGUCUGCAACUGACGCUGAGACUCGAAAGCAUGGGUAGCGAACAGGAUUAGAUACCCUGGUAGUCCAUGCCGUAAACGAUGAGUGCUAGGUGUUGGAGGGUUUCCGCCCUUCAGUGCCGGAGCUAACGCAUUAAGCACUCCGCCUGGGGAGUACGACCGCAAGGUUGAAACUCAAAGGAAUUGACGGGGGCCCGCACAAGCGGUGGAGCAUGUGGUUUAAUUCGAAGCUACGCGAAGAACCUUACCAGGUCUUAACAUCUUGCGCCAACCCUAGAGAUAGGGCGUUUCCUUCGGGAACGCAAUGACAGGUGGUGCAUGGUCGUCGUCAGCUCGUGUCGUGAGAUGUUGGGUUAAGUCCCGCAACGAGCGCAACCCUUGUUACUAGUUGCCAGCAUUAAGUUGGGCACUCUAGUGAGACUGCCGGUGACAAACCGGAGGAAGGUGGGGACGACGUCAGAUCAUCAUGCCCCUUAUGACCUGGGCUACACACGUGCUACAAUGGACGGUACAACGAGUCGCGAACUCGCGAGGGCAAGCAAAUCUCUUAAAACCGUUCUCAGUUCGGACUGCAGGCUGCAACUCGCCUGCACGAAGUCGGAAUCGCUAGUAAUCGCGGAUCAGCAUGCCGCGGUGAAUACGUUCCCGGGCCUUGUACACACCGCCCGUCACACCAUGAGAGUUUGUAACACCCAAAGUCGGUGGGGUAACCUUUUAGGAGCCAGCCGCCUAAGGUGGGACAGAUGAUUAGGGUGAAGUCGUAACAAGGUAACCA
This 1538-nucleotide ribosomal RNA is filed under the name Limosilactobacillus fermentum. RNAcentral describes it as "bacterial SSU rRNA". It matches the Rfam family "Bacterial small subunit ribosomal RNA". Lineage: Bacteria; Bacillati; Bacillota; Bacilli; Lactobacillales; Lactobacillaceae. The record is from RNAcentral.